GCAGGUACCAGUAGUGCGUUUCAGUUCCCCGGGAAAAAUUCAGAGAAAAUUAGGGACAGCCUGUAGGCGCACUGUGAAGCCGUGUUCGGACCCCGAAACGAGUAAGGACCCCUCACCCUAUUUCCUAUCACGGUAUUAAAGUUCAAAAUGAUAAAACGGUAUUUCUUGAAUUAACGAAUGUGUGAAAUUGCUUAAGGUGGCUAAUGGAGCCCGAGUCUAGUGUGAUUGGUGAUUUACUGUUAUUUGGUCUGUUUACAGCUUUAAAUGCAAAAUGAGGUUUGAUGUGUUCAUUUUACAGAUUUGUGUGCAUAUACUACGUUUUUAUUAACUAUGGGUUGAAUGACUGAAAAACUGAUACUGUAUGUUGUCUGUUUGGCAUGAAUUACGAUUUGCUUGUUUAAAUGUGAAUUGAUGAUGCUGACUGAGGGAAAGGAAAAUGAAAGAUUGUGUAGACUGAUAAUUGUAUUAUGGGGGUCAGCCUGACUAGAUAUCCUGGGAGAUGGUGGACGGACCGAGU
RNAcentral lists this long non-coding RNA (517 nucleotides) under Carica papaya (papaya). RNAcentral describes it as "long non-coding RNA (CPAP_LNC015283)". Lineage: Eukaryota; Viridiplantae; Streptophyta; Magnoliopsida; Brassicales; Caricaceae. The record is from RNAcentral.